GUGUGUUUAUGUGUGGAUUGUGUUCAGCACCAAGGACGGGUAUGAUUGCCUGUGUGUGAAUAGUGUUCAGCACCAAGGACAGGUAUGUUUAUAU
RNAcentral lists this microRNA precursor (94 nucleotides) under Branchiostoma floridae (Florida lancelet). RNAcentral's name for it is "mir-2060 microRNA precursor family". It matches the Rfam family "mir-2060 microRNA precursor family". Lineage: Eukaryota; Metazoa; Chordata; Leptocardii; Amphioxiformes; Branchiostomatidae. The record is from Rfam by way of RNAcentral.